GGCCCCAUUAGCUCAGUUGGUUAGAGCCUGGUGCUAAUAACGCCAAGGUCGCGGGUUCGAUCCCCUCAUGGACCA
This is a non-coding RNA of Henosepilachna vigintioctopunctata, 75 nucleotides long. Lineage: Eukaryota; Metazoa; Arthropoda; Insecta; Coleoptera; Coccinellidae. The record is from the annotation of a GenBank genome assembly.